CAAUAGCGUAUAUUAAAGUUGUUGCAGUUAAAAAGCUCGUAGUUGGACUUCUGGUGGGAGCGAUCGGUCUGGCGCUUAGCGCGAGUACUUGCAUCGUCUCCGGCCAUCCUUGGGGAGAGUCUGUCUGGCAUUAGGUUGUCGGGCAGAGGAUCCUCAUCGUUUACUGUGAAAAAAUUAGAGUGUUCAAAGCAGGCUUAUGCCGUUGAAUAUAUUAGCAUGGAAUAAUAAGAUAGGACUUUGGUACUAUUUUGUUGGUUUGCGCACCAAAGUAAUGAUUAAUAGGGACAGUUGGGGGUAUUCGUAUUCCGUUGUCAGAGGUGAAAUUCUUGGAUUUACGGAAGACGAACUACUGCGAAAGCAUUUACCAAGGAUGUUUUCAUUAA
Molecule: ribosomal RNA, 383 nt
Filed under: uncultured eukaryote
Lineage: Eukaryota
Description: partial 18S ribosomal RNA
Rfam family: Eukaryotic small subunit ribosomal RNA
Source: RNAcentral